Stylophora pistillata is the source of this 643-nucleotide long non-coding RNA. RefSeq lists it as uncharacterized. The record is from RefSeq and is a predicted model, not a curated record. NCBI's taxonomy places the organism in Eukaryota, Metazoa, Cnidaria, Anthozoa, Scleractinia, Pocilloporidae.
UUUUGUUCAGUAGAAACAAGAACAUCACGACAUGGAACUGUAUUUUAACGACAAUGAAUUGCAAGUUGUUUCAGUUGCCUUGGUUGUCGUUGGCUGACUAUUCAUAGCACAUGUGCUAUGUUUUUCUGAGAUACUGUACUAUGCCCGUGAAAGGAAGCAUUGGCUUGUCUCGACUAUCCAGAAUGCACGGAUAUUUAAAUAACUUGCCCAAUUUUUCAGAUAAUAUUGUAAUUAUUACGACUAGAAAAAUAGGAGUGAAGAAAAAAAUACAGAUAUUGUAAAUCAAGAAGGAGAUAUUUACCUCUUUUUGUUUUUUGAAAUAUAUGUAAAAAAUGGCACGUGACCAUUGUAAAGGUAUCUUACUUUGAGUAGAAAGUCACUAACAGAUCUGCAUUAAUUCAUUAUCGCGGGUUCGUCUAGGACGCUUAUCUGAGUAGAGUUUAGUAUGAAGAAAAUGUAGGGGCGAGGUUCAUGUGAUGGUGACAAGAGGCUGAAUAGCCACAUGACAGCUAGAAAGGGAAUUAUCACCUCGAACUGUUUGAUUCCAAGUAAGAACCAUAUUCGUGGUAUAAAAAAAAUAUUUGGGUAAAGUUCAAAUUUUACAAAGAUGCCAUCAAAGAAUAAACUACUUAUUGAGAAUGGA